UGGGGAAUAUUGCACAAUGGAGGGAACUCUGAUGCAGCGACGCCGCGUGAGUGAUGAAGGAAUUCGUUUCGUAAAACUCUGUUCUAUGGGAAGAAAAGGACUGUACCAUAGGAGAAAGCUCCGGCUAAAUACGUGCCAGCAGCCGCGGUAAUACGUAUGGAGCGAGCGUUGUCCGGAAUUAUUGGGCGUAAAGGGUGCGCAGGCGGCUUUACAAGUUGGAUGUGAAAUAUUGUGGCUCAACCACAAACGUGCAUCCAAAACUGCAAAGCUUGAGUUAAGGAGAGGUAAGUGGAAUUCCUGGUGUAGCGGUGGAAUGCGUAAAUAUCAGGAGGAAUACCGGUGGCGAAGGCGACUUACUGGACUUAAACUGACGCUCAGCCACGAAAGCGUGGGGAGCAAACAGG
This 404-nucleotide ribosomal RNA is filed under the name Fusobacteriota bacterium. RNAcentral describes it as "Fusobacteria bacterium partial 16S ribosomal RNA". It matches the Rfam family "Bacterial small subunit ribosomal RNA", at positions 355 to 776 of the family's 1533-position model. The record is from RNAcentral. Lineage: Bacteria; Fusobacteriati; Fusobacteriota.